This 470-nucleotide ribosomal RNA is filed under the name uncultured bacterium. RNAcentral's name for it is "SSU rRNA". It matches the Rfam family "Bacterial small subunit ribosomal RNA", at positions 26 to 518 of the family's 1533-position model. The record is from RNAcentral.
AGGAUAAACGCUGGCGGCGUGCCUAACACAUGCAAGUCGAACGUCUCUUUCUUCGGGAAGAGGAGUGGCGGACGGGUGAGGAACACGUGGGAACCUGCCCUACAGUGAGGAAUACCGGCGAGAAAUCGCCGACAAGACCGCAUAGCCCUCUCUGGUGAGAGCCAGAGAAGGAAAGCUUCGCAAGAGGCGCUGGAGGAGGGGCCUGCGUCCGAUUAGCUAGUUGGUGGGGUAAGAGCCUACCAAGGCGUCGAUCGGUAGCUGGUCUGAGAGGACGAUCAGCCACACUGGGAUUGAGAACGGCCCAGACUCCUACGGGGGGCAGCAGUGAGGAAUUUUCGGCAAUGGGGGAAACCCUGACCGAGCAACGCCGCGUGCAGGAAGACGGCCUUCGGGUGUAAACUGCUUUCUUUGGGACGAGCAAGGACGGUACCAGAGGAAUCAGCCCCGGCUCACUACGUGCCAGCAGCCGC